GAUGAACGCUGGCGGCGUGCCUAACACAUGCAAGUCGAACGGAAGGACGAUAAGAUCUCGCUCCUAAUGUUAGCGACGGACGGGUGAGUAACACGUGGAUAGCCUUCCACUUUGACUUGGGUAAUAACGGAAGGCAACAGCCACUACUAGAUAAUAUUUUCAACGGGAUGGUUCAAAAGUUCUUCAGGCUUUUGCUGACUCAAAUAGAUGGAUUCGCGCUGGAUUAGCUAGUUGGUAAGGUAACGGCCUACCAAGGCAACGAUGCAUAGCCGACCUGAGAGGAUGAUCGGCCACACUGGAACUGAGACACGGUCCAGACUCCUACGGGAGGCAGCAGUGGGGAAUCUUCCGCAAUGGGCGAAAGCCUGACGCAGCAACGCCGCGUGGGUGAAGAAGGUCUUCGGGUUGUAAAGCUCUUUUGUUGGGGAAGAACAGAUGUGGAUGUAACCGUGGCUGUUUUGACGGUACCCAAUGAAAAAGCCACGGCUAACUUCGUG
This 497-nucleotide ribosomal RNA is filed under the name uncultured bacterium. Its description in RNAcentral is "partial 16S ribosomal RNA". It matches the Rfam family "Bacterial small subunit ribosomal RNA", at positions 28 to 507 of the family's 1533-position model. The record is from RNAcentral.